GUGGGAGGGGUUGCUAGGGGCAGGGGGAGUUAUUAUUUGUAUGGCUACGGGAGCAGCGCCGCCCAGGGUCAGGGGCAAGUGGGGUAGUUUGCCCCGGCGGCGGGGGGCCCCUCAGUGCUGGCGAAGACGCGGGCCGCCCCCGGGACUUGAAUCCUACAUCACUUUUUAGAAAAACCUCUUGAAAUUCUACCAGUAAAGUGGUUAGAGAUACAGGGGAGUUCUCUGCCCUGUGUAACAAAGCUUUCCUGCUGGUACUAUACUGAUGGUUUAUUUACAUUACUACUAUCACCAUCCUCUCUCCCUCCACGUGCACAACAACAGAAGGUACGGUGUGUUUUCUUCUUUUAGCAGCCUUGCCUAAUGUUUUGACCCUUUAAAAUCUAAGCUCGUUUACAAAAAAAGGUGCCUCUUCAGAGAAGUUAACUCAAAUUAUGUGCACUUGACUUAUUUCUGUUGUGUUAGCCUAUCCAAGGUGACAACAAAUAUGCUGCUCUCCCACACUGCUUCCACUGUAAUGCCUCAAUGCUGCAUUCAGAUCCUUGCAAACCCAAGGGUCAAACCAUACAGAUGUGACUGAAGCAUCAAGACACACAUAUGCUCCAUUUACAAGUUAAAAAAAAACACAUCUAACUGACACCCCAAAUUCAGCCUGGACUCCAAGAGUCAAGCUGGUUUCUGUCCAUCUCAUCCACCAUCACUAGUCACAGGGACAAAGAUAUCAGCACUUAAAUAGUUCUGCUGAUGAUGCUACAGGAACCAGAAGAAAAACUGGCUCAUUUUGCCAUAGCUGUAUUGGCUAAAUUCAUGCAGAUCUGCCUCAAAACCAGAUGGUUAUACUGCUUAAGGUGUUAUUUUUACACUCAAUUUUUAAAAAUGUAAAUAGGGCAUAAAAAGUUAUAUUGUAUGUAUAGCCAAUCUUCUCUCUUCAUUCCAGAAAAUGACAUUAAUAAUGCCUGUGUGAAGUUACCUGUUACUAAUACUAACAGGUCAUUUGACAAUUCAUGCCACUAUGAGUCGUUUGGAGCAAGACUUAGAGAGUCCCUCCAUGUGCACGGUCACUCAAUUUGUAUUUUUAUUUUUCAUUUUUUUGCCUUCCACCAAAGGAUCUUAAGGAAUUUUUUCAGCAAACCUAGCAAACGCAGCAAAGGUUCUUGGACCAGGAUAUAUUCAUUAACUAGGAGAAAUGAGCUGUGGAAUAAUUCCAGCAACAGAGAUGAGAUCCAGGUGACUGGAGGCUUGAGGUUCCAGAAGCAACCUGUGUAAGGGAGGGACUGCACCAUUCAAUGGACACCCUCAAGUGAGAACCAUUCUAACACCACUUCUGGCUGCCCGUACGCUCCUGACUUCAUCCAUGACAAGCUUUCCAGCUCCUUCCAGCAGCUGCUCAAUCAUCCUGCACCCCAGCAAUGAGCCCACUUGCUUUGCUUCUUGCCAUAAAUGUUAUAUAAAAAAUCCUCCCAGUUGGUCUCUGUAGUGAUAUUCUUAAAUUAAAGGAAGAUAAAGUGGUAACUAAGCUGCUUUUUUAUUAUCCCAGUUACUGGAAGAGAAUUUUGGAGAAUUCUUAUAAUUGUUAUAUUUGUAUUAUAGUUAUGUCCAGAUUAGGACUCCAUUAUGCCAGACACUAUAUAUAUGCAUAUUGAUGGACAGUCUCUGCCUCCAAAGAACUUACAGUGUAAAUAGACAGGACAGGAAAAAGGAGGGAAAUACUAUUUCCCCAAAUUUACAGAUGGGGAACUGAGUCACAGAGAGAUUAAAUGACUGGACUAAUGUCAAACAGUCAAUCUGUGGCAGAGCUGUGAACUGAACCCAGAUCUCCUAAAUCUCAGUUCCAGGCCAAUGUCAUAAUCACAUGAUCGUCUUUACUCUCUCUAUACAACUAUUAAUAUGAAGAUCACUUCUCAGGAAAAGCAGUUGAAGCACAAAUUGUUAAUGUUUUUUGACCUGUCCUUAUAAAAAUGGAAAUCAUAGGUCAUUUUUCACUGUAGAAUGUUGAUUAGCAGAUCUUCAGGUAUAGCGUGAUUCAGUAGGAAGUUAGUAAAUUGUGUCUCUGUCCUAAGUUAAAAUGUAAUUUUUUUCUUCCAUUAAAUGAACUGUGAUACAUCUACACUGCUGUAUCCAUCAAAGAAUACUUGAUAAUGUUUUAUAGGAUGUUAAUUACAUGCUUCUUCCUGUCACUGACUUGAUAAAGAAAUAUCCUUUCUAGCUUACUUCACUCCUUGUAGUACUGCUUUUUUCCCACUGAGUGGCAUCAGGUUCAUUUCUGAAAAGCAAAAGCAAUUCAAACUAGCUUCCAUGUGGUUAUGGGACAUGGGAGAGGGAGAGAAAAUGGCAAUAGGUACAUUUGGGAAGCCACUUUAAAAGUACUCAUUGCUUUGUUAUACAGUACUAGAUGUUCCUUUGGAGAGAGGCCUUAGGCAUGCUAUACUAAUGAUUCCCUCUGUGUGGAAUGAGGGAGACCCAGGUGCACCCGAUCGGCAAUCCACAGACAUGAUCAGUGGAUAUCAGCAGAUUUUCAGGGCUCUAAAAACAGUAGUGGGCCAUGCCUGAUUUUAUGGUCUGGGAACAGUUUUUUUUAAAUGAAACAUCAAAAUGAGAGUGGCAACCAAUUCUCUUACUUCCUGGAGAUGUAAGAGAAGGAGCUGGAUGCCGAAUGUAUAUUGACAAUUUAAAAAAAAGGUUUGCUUCUGAUGCAGUGAGAGACAGAGUACAAGCAGGAGAUUACCAGUGUUUCCUAAGUUGUUACUGAAAAGCAAGGAGUGUAGCAGGUUCUUCAUCUCAUUAUGGAAAAAAUUACUUCACCAAAAAUAAAUCAGACAUGAGCAACA
Long non-coding RNA from Gopherus agassizii (Agassiz's desert tortoise), 2825 nucleotides. The record is from Ensembl. Lineage: Eukaryota; Metazoa; Chordata; Testudines; Testudinidae.